Molecule: transfer RNA, 84 nt
Filed under: Felis catus (domestic cat)
Lineage: Eukaryota; Metazoa; Chordata; Mammalia; Carnivora; Felidae
Rfam family: tRNA
About the family: Transfer RNA (tRNA) molecules are approximately 80 nucleotides in length. Their secondary structure includes four short double-helical elements and three loops (D, anti-codon, and T loops).
Source: Rfam by way of RNAcentral
GCCUGGGUGGCUCAGUUGGUGGAGCGCCUGACUUCAGCUCAGGUCGUGAUCUCCAGUUUGUGAGUUCAAGCCCCACAUAGGGCU